Molecule: transfer RNA, 73 nt
Filed under: Solirubrobacterales bacterium
Lineage: Bacteria; Bacillati; Actinomycetota; Thermoleophilia; Solirubrobacterales
Description: tRNA-Ile
Rfam family: tRNA
About the family: Transfer RNA (tRNA) molecules are approximately 80 nucleotides in length. Their secondary structure includes four short double-helical elements and three loops (D, anti-codon, and T loops). Further hydrogen bonds mediate the characteristic L-shaped molecular structure. tRNAs have two regions of fundamental functional importance: the anti-codon, which is responsible for specific mRNA codon recognition, and the 3' end, to which the tRNAs corresponding amino acid is attached (by aminoacyl-tRNA synthetases). tRNAs cope with the degeneracy of the genetic code in two manners: having more than one tRNA (with a specific anti-codon) for a particular amino acid; and 'wobble' base-pairing, i.e. permitting non-standard base-pairing at the 3rd anti-codon position.
Source: RNAcentral
GGGCCGGUAGCUCAGUGGUUAGAGCAGCGGACUCAUAAUCCGUCAGACGAAGGUUCGAAUCCUUCCCGGCCCA